GCUUUUAAAAAACUACAUGAUGAGCUCAUGGGAAACAUUUUUCAUGCAAGGAAAUAGUUAGUGGUUGGUUCCACAUGUUUUCUUCACGAAAAAACAAAUAGAAAGUCAGAAAAGCAUUCCUAAAUUCUUAUUCCAUCUCCUCCUGCAAGUCAAACAGUAAUUAGGUAUGGUUUCAAAAUGCCACAUACAAUGAAAAGAAAGAUAAUUGAUAGUUUUAAAUAACAGCCAUUAUUUUAUGACCAAAGGUUUUGGAUCUCAUUAUUGGGCUAGACAUUCAGAAAUCAAAUUCAAAAUUAUGGGACAAAUUGUCACCAUUCUCCCCUUUUACCUAUCUUGCGGCAUUAAGCAGGAAAAUUAAAUGGCA
RNAcentral lists this unclassified non-coding RNA (364 nucleotides) under Hevea brasiliensis (rubber tree). Lineage: Eukaryota; Viridiplantae; Streptophyta; Magnoliopsida; Malpighiales; Euphorbiaceae. The record is from RNAcentral.